AGAGUUUGAUCCUGGCUCAGAAUGAACGCUGGCGGCGUGCUUAACACAUGCAAGUCGUACGAGAACGCUUUAGCUUGCUAGAGCUAGUAAAGUGGCGUACGGGUGAGUAACGCGUGGGUAAUCUACCCUUGAAUUCGGGAUAACAUUGCGAAAGCGAUGCUAAUACCGGAUAACAUCAUAAUCGUUGCGACGAUUAUGAUCAAAGGUGGCCUCUAUAUAUAAGCUACUGUUUAAGGAUGAGCCCGCGUACCAUUAGCUUGUUGGUAGGGUAAAGGCCUACCAAGGCGACGAUGGUUAGCUGGUCUGAGAGGAUGAUCAGCCACACUGGAACUGACACACGGUCCAGACUCCUACGGGAGGCAGCAGUGAGGAAUUUUGCGCAAUGGGGGAAACCCUGACGCAGCAACGCCGCGUGAGUGAUGAAGGCCUUUGGGUCGUAAAGCUCUGUCAAGUGGGAAGAACCUGUUUCAGGCCAAUAUCCUGAGACACUGACGGUACCACUGAAGGAAGCACCGGCUAACUCCGUGCCAGCAGCCGCGGUAAUACGGGGGGUGCAAGCGUUAUUCGGAAUUAUUGGGCGUAAAGGGCGCGCAGGCGGCCUGGUAAGUCAGAUGUGAAAUCCCGGGGCUCAACCCUGGAAGUGCAUUUGAUACUGUUAGGCUUGAGUAUGGGAGAGGGAAGUGGAAUUCCUGGUGUAGAGGUGAAAUUCGUAGAUAUCAGGAGGAACAUCGGUGGCGAAGGCGACUUCCUG
This 751-nucleotide ribosomal RNA is filed under the name uncultured delta proteobacterium. RNAcentral's name for it is "bacterial SSU rRNA". It matches the Rfam family "Bacterial small subunit ribosomal RNA", at positions 8 to 731 of the family's 1533-position model. Lineage: Bacteria; Deltaproteobacteria. The record is from RNAcentral.